GACGAACGCUGGCGGCGUGCUUAACACAUGCAAGUCGAACGGAAAGGCCCUGCUUUUGUGUGGUGCUCGAGUGGCGAACGGGUGAGUAACACGUGAGUAACCUGCCCUUGACUUUGGGAUAACUUCAGGAAACUGGGGCUAAUACCGGAUAGGAGCUCCUGCUGCAUGGUGGGGGUUGGAAAGUUUCGGCGGUUGGGGAUGGACUCGCGGCUUAUCAGCUUGUUGGUGGGGUAGUGGCUUACCAAGGCUUUGACGGGUAGCCGGCCUGAGAGGGUGACCGGCCACAUUGGGACUGAGAUACGGCCCAGACUCCUACGGGAGGCAGCAGUGGGGAAUAUUGCACAAUGGGCGGAAGCCUGAUGCAGCAACGCCGCGUGCGGGAUGACGGCCUUCGGGUUGUAAACCGCUUUCGGCUGUGACGAAGCGUGAGUGACGGUAAUGGGUAAAGAAGCACCGGCUAACUACGUG
RNAcentral lists this ribosomal RNA (468 nucleotides) under uncultured bacterium. RNAcentral describes it as "partial 16S ribosomal RNA". It matches the Rfam family "Bacterial small subunit ribosomal RNA", at positions 28 to 507 of the family's 1533-position model. The record is from RNAcentral.